AUUGAACGCUGGCGGAAUGCUUUACACAUGCAAGUCGAACGGCAGCACGGACUUCGGUCUGGUGGCGAGUGGCGCACGGGUGAGUAAUGUAUCGGAACGUGCCCAGUCGUGGGGGAUAACGUAGUGAAAAUUACGCUAAUACCGCAUACGAUCUAUGGAUGAAAGCGGGGGAUCGCAAGACCUCGAGCGAUUGGAGCGGCCGAUAUCAGAUUAGGUAGUUGGUGGGGUAAAGGCCCACCAAGCCAACGAACUGUAGCUGGUCUAAGAGGACGACCAGGCACACUGAAACUGUGACACGGUCCAGAUUCUUACUGGAGGCAGCAGUGUGGAAUUUUGGACAAUGGGCGAAAGCCUGAUCCAGCCAGUCCGCGUGCAGGAGGAAGGCCCUCGGUUUGUAAACUGCUUUUGUACAGUGCGAAAAGUUUUCUACUAUUACCAGGAGCUCAUGACGGUACUGUAAGAAUAAGCACCGGCUAACUACGUGCCAGCCGCCGCCGUAA
RNAcentral lists this ribosomal RNA (500 nucleotides) under uncultured bacterium. RNAcentral describes it as "partial 16S ribosomal RNA". It matches the Rfam family "Bacterial small subunit ribosomal RNA", at positions 30 to 523 of the family's 1533-position model. The record is from RNAcentral.